AUGAAACUUUUUUAUUAAAUAACAAUAACAAAUUUUAACUUCUAUAAAGUCUAAAGCUAUUGACUCGAUUACAUUAUCCUCUCGCAACAUUUCUCUCGCAUCUUGAAAUCGUUCCGUAAAUGAGAAAUUGUUCCUAAAAUUAAUGUUUACUCCCGAAAUCGUUCUCUGAAAUCACAUUUAAAAUCGCAUCGCGCACGUUCUUCUCUCCCUUUCAGUUUGAUUGCUCUCGUUUUCACAGCUACUAGAUUUUUUUUUUAGAUUCAAAGUGGCACAACAUCAAUAAGAUUAGAAGCUGCUUCUUGUUCUUUUGAAGAUUAUAUAUAUUAAUGUGUUAUUGCUAAGAUUACUUUGAUCUUGAAGUGGCUUAUUGCUUGAAUACCCCUUGUAUAAUUGUGCUUGUUAGACAUUUGUUAGUGGAUUUUUUUUUUAUGCAAUUGGAGAUAUUUGUAUCAGUUCAUGAUUAUGAACUAUUGAGAUUUAUGCAAGUUGUUUGCAUGGAUGCUUCAAUUAUUUAAUUAUUCGUGUUCUUGUAUGAUUCUGUGUUCUUGUAUGAUUCUAUUAGUAAUCUCUGUAGCACUGACACCUCUAAUUAAAGGCGUGCCCUAGUGUCCGACAAAUCUUGUUGUCAGAUACUUUAAUUACAUUUAAUUAAUUAAUUAAUU
Molecule: long non-coding RNA, 662 nt
Filed under: Cicer arietinum (chickpea)
Lineage: Eukaryota; Viridiplantae; Streptophyta; Magnoliopsida; Fabales; Fabaceae
Description: long non-coding RNA (CARI_LNC000471)
Source: RNAcentral